CAACAUUCACACUGUAGAGCCCUUUGUAAAUCUACUGCUGGAUGACUUAUUUGACCAUACUUCACCACUAUGGUCAGUGCCGGUUGGUGAAGGCUGGCAGCAUAGAUAUUGGAGCGUAGUACAAUACAAAUAUCGAUUUUUGCUGGAGAGCCCUCCCCUGACAACGUAGCUCUCCUGAAAAAGAGCCACAUAAUCGAGGAGGCAUUACUUGAUGACGAUUCAAGGACGUUCUUGAACGCAGGAGAUCGGGACAGAACCGCGUAUCCCGACCUGCAGUUAAAUAAUCACCAACCCCACUCAUCGGCCUCUUGGAUGCAGCCCGGCACGAGAACGUGACGGUGGUGUUGGCGAGACGGCGACGAGAAAGAGAGGCCAUGGCCGAGUUGGGAAGGGAGAGGCAGGAGCCCCAGGUGGACCCCGUGACCUCUGUCCCCAGCGUGAAUCAUACGCUUGCGAAAGGCAAACAAUGGCAACCGAAGAUCAUCCUGAUCCAGUGCUGGGAUUUGCCUCAUUGCAAGUUGAAGCGAAGGGAACACUUACUUUCUCCUUCUGGUAAGCAGUCCUGCUUAGGAG
Molecule: long non-coding RNA, 573 nt
Organism: Lethenteron reissneri (Far Eastern brook lamprey)
Lineage: Eukaryota; Metazoa; Chordata; Hyperoartia; Petromyzontiformes; Petromyzontidae
Source: RefSeq, a predicted model, not a curated record